CUCAUAUUGCAGGUUGAUUGGUUAUACUAUAUUGCUUUUGCGAUUGUGGUUGUUGGACUCGUCAUUUAUUCAACAACUGAUAAGGAUCCCGUUCCUAUACCAGCUCUUGAAAAUGGAAGCCACAAUGUGCAAUAUCAGAUGCUUGAUGGUGAAAAUGUGGCAUCAAGAGAUGAAUUAUCAGGAUAGUCUGUCAAGUUUUUAUUCAACAUGCAGACAAAAGAGCUUUUGUACUUUAUGUUUGAUUGUUUCACCCC
This is a long non-coding RNA of Pistacia vera, 254 nucleotides long. RefSeq lists it as uncharacterized. The record is from RefSeq and is a predicted model, not a curated record. NCBI's taxonomy places the organism in Eukaryota, Viridiplantae, Streptophyta, Magnoliopsida, Sapindales, Anacardiaceae. The transcript is spliced from 3 exons.